RNAcentral lists this small RNA (106 nucleotides) under Vibrio tapetis subsp. tapetis. RNAcentral describes it as "t44 RNA". It matches the Rfam family "t44 RNA". From Rfam's summary of the family: This family consists of a number of bacterial RNA genes of between 135 and 170 bases in length. Lineage: Bacteria; Pseudomonadati; Pseudomonadota; Gammaproteobacteria; Vibrionales; Vibrionaceae. The record is from Rfam by way of RNAcentral.
CAUAAAUUAUCUUUAAAUCACACACGUACCGACACAUGAUCCGGGGUGCUCACUUACUCAAUAUUGAGAGGUAGAGUCGGACGCAUGGGGCACGUGGAGGCCUAAC